RNAcentral lists this non-coding RNA (29 nucleotides) under Rattus norvegicus (Norway rat). The record is from RNAcentral. Lineage: Eukaryota; Metazoa; Chordata; Mammalia; Rodentia; Muridae.
UCCACAAGGAAGCUUGAUUUAUUCACUUC